AUACUACUCCCUCCGUCCGGAGUUACUUGUUAUAAAAAUGAAUGUAUCUUGAACUAAAAUACAUCUAGAUAUAUCUAUUCUUGCGACAAGUAUUUCUGAACGGAGGGAGUAUAAA
Molecule: microRNA precursor, 115 nt
Filed under: Hordeum vulgare
Lineage: Eukaryota; Viridiplantae; Streptophyta; Magnoliopsida; Poales; Poaceae
Description: microRNA MIR1122
Rfam family: MIR1120/MIR1122 microRNA precursor family
Source: RNAcentral